UUACUAUAAAACUUCUGAUUAACAGCAAUCAGUACACCACCGCCGCUGGUUUUAUCAGAAUUCGAUGAGGAUCUAUCGCAACGAAAGCAUAAACAUCGAAAUCACGCUCCAGUGCGGACAUGAAGACAGCUUCGAGCCGGCUACUGCUUCGGAUACUAUUCAUAUUCUGAUGAAUCACGCAAGCAACAGUUAUACACUUCUGGAC
Long non-coding RNA from Sabethes cyaneus, 205 nucleotides. RefSeq lists it as uncharacterized. The record is from RefSeq and is a predicted model, not a curated record. The transcript has 3 exons. NCBI's taxonomy places the organism in Eukaryota, Metazoa, Arthropoda, Insecta, Diptera, Culicidae.